UGAGUACGAGAUGCUACGGCAUCGAAGCAGUCUAUGUCAUACUUCCAAGAAAAGCUUGCACUGUCAUAAACAAAGAAUGCCUGUACCAUAACCGACACAGGUGGGUAGGUAGAGUAUACUAAGGGGCGCGAGAUAACUCUCUCUAAGGAACUCGGCAAAAUGACUCCGUAACUUCGGGAGAAGGAGUGCCUUAUUUCUAAGGUUGCAAUAACAAGAUCCAAGCAACUGUUUACCAAAAACACAGGUCUCCGCUAAGUCGUAAGACGAUGUAUGGGGGCUGACGCCUGCCCAGUGCCAGAAGGUUAAAGAAGUUGGUUAGCAUUAGCGAAGCUGAUAACUGAAGCCCUGGUGAACGGCGGCCGUAACAAUAACGGUCCUAAGGUAGCGAAAUUCCUUGUCGGGUAAGUUCCGACCCGCACGAAAGGCGUAAUGAUUUGGAUACUGUCUCGGAGAGGGGCUCGGUGAAAUAGACUUGUCUGUGAAGAUGCGGACUACCUGCACCUGGACAGAAAGACCCUAUGAAGCUUUACUGUAACUUGAGAUUGAAAUUGGACUUUAUUUGCGCAGUAUAGGUGGGAGGCGCUGGGAAUAAUCUUGCGGGAUUGUUGGAGCCAUCAGUGAGAUACCACUCUUGUAAUGUUAGAUUUCUAACUUUGUAUCAUUAUCUGGUCAAAGAACAGUUUCAGGCGGGCAGUUUGACUGGGGCGGUCGCCUCCCAAACGGUAACGGAGGCGCACAAAGGUUUCCUCUGAACGGGUAGAAAUCGUAUCUAGAGUGUAAAGGCAUAAGGAAGCUUGACUGUGAGACCUACAAGUCGAGCAGGGACGAAAGUCGGUCUUAGUGAUCUGACGGUGCUGAGUGGAAAGGCCGUCACUCAACGGAUAAAAGUUACUCUAAGGAUAACAGGCUGAUCUCCCCCAAGAGUUCACAUCGACGGGGAGGUUUGGCACCUCGAUGUCGGCUCAUCGCAUCCUGGGGCGGUAGUACGUCCCAAGGGUUGGGCUGUUCGCCCAUGAAAGCGGUACGCGAGCUGGGUUCAGAACGUCGUGAGACAGUUCGGUCCAUAUCCGGUGUAGGCGUUAGAAUAUUGAGAGGAGCCUUCUCUAGUACGAGAGGACCGAGAAGGACAUACCUCUGGUGUACCAGUUAUCGUGCCAACGGUAAACGCUGGGUAGCUAUGUAUGGAGUGGAUAACCGCUGAAAGCAUCUAAGUGGGAAGCCCACCUCAAGAUAAG
This 1235-nucleotide ribosomal RNA is filed under the name metagenome. RNAcentral's name for it is "bacterial LSU rRNA". It matches the Rfam family "Bacterial large subunit ribosomal RNA", at positions 1564 to 2808 of the family's 2925-position model. The record is from RNAcentral.